AUUGAACGCUGGCGGCAGGCCUAACACAUGCAAGUCGAGCGGAUGAAGGGAGCUUGCUCCUGGAUUCAGCGGCGGACGGGUGAGUAAUGCCUAGGAAACUGCCUGGUAGUGGGGGAUAACGUCCGGAAACGGGCGCUAAUACCGCAUACGUCCUGAGGGAGAAAGUGGGGGAUCUUCGGACCUCACGCUAUCAGAUGAGCCUAGGUCGGAUUAGCUAGUUGGUGGGGUAAAGGCCUACCAAGGCGACGAUCCGUAACCGGUCUGAGAGGAUGAUCAGUCACACUGGAACUGAGACACGGUCCAGACUCCUACGGGAGGCAGCAGUGGGGAAUACUGGACAAUGGGCGAAAGCCUGAUCCAGCCAUGCCGCGUGUGUGAAGAAGGUCUUCGGAUUGUAAAGCACUUUAAGUUGGGAGGAAGGGCAGUAAGUUAAUACCUUGCUGUUUUGACGUUACCAACAGAAUAAGCACCGGCUAACUUCGUG
RNAcentral lists this ribosomal RNA (484 nucleotides) under uncultured bacterium. RNAcentral describes it as "partial 16S ribosomal RNA". It matches the Rfam family "Bacterial small subunit ribosomal RNA", at positions 30 to 507 of the family's 1533-position model. The record is from RNAcentral.